Molecule: ribosomal RNA, 465 nt
Filed under: Vreelandella stevensii
Lineage: Bacteria; Pseudomonadati; Pseudomonadota; Gammaproteobacteria; Oceanospirillales; Halomonadaceae
Description: partial 16S ribosomal RNA
Rfam family: Bacterial small subunit ribosomal RNA
Source: RNAcentral
CCUACGGGAGGCUGCAGUGGGGAAUAUUGGACAAUGGGGGCAACCCUGAUCCAGCCAUGCCGCGUGUGUGAAGAAGGCCCUCGGGUUGUAAAGCACUUUCAGUGAGGAAGAACGCCUGGUGGUUAAUACCCAUCAGGAAAGACAUCACUCACAGAAGAAGCACCGGCUAACUCCGUGCCAGCAGCCGCGGUAAUACGGAGGGUGCGAGCGUUAAUCGGAAUUACUGGGCGUAAAGCGCGCGUAGGUGGCUUGAUAAGCCGGUUGUGAAAGCCCCGGGCUCAACCUGGGAACGGCACCCGGAACUGUCAAGCUAGAGUGCAGGAGAGGAAGGUAGAAUUCCCGGUGUAGCGGUGAAAUGCGUAGAGAUCGGGAGGAAUACCAGUGGCGAAGGCGGCCUUCUGGACUGACACUGACACUGAGGUGCGAAAGCGUGGGUAGCAAACAGGAUUAGAUACCCUUGUAGUC